GCCGGGUGUGGUGGCUCACACCUGUAAUCCCUGCACUUUGGGAGGCUGAGGCGGGUGGAUCACCUGAGGCCAGGAGUUCGAGACCAGCCUGGCCAAUAUGGUGAAACCUUGUCUCUA
RNAcentral lists this non-coding RNA (117 nucleotides) under Homo sapiens (human). Lineage: Eukaryota; Metazoa; Chordata; Mammalia; Primates; Hominidae. The record is from Rfam by way of RNAcentral.